AGACAUCGCUGCGGCCGGGAUAGGGCGCCGCCGUUCUGGCCGGCUUUCUCGGUGCCCUGGAGGACCUGGCCGGCUCCGCGGGAAGCUGUACUCAGAGCGCGCGGCCGCCCUCUGGCAGGGAGGAGUUCGUUGCACUUUUGAGGGUUCUUCACGAAGACAUCCAAUACAUAGAAAACAAGUAACAGCAACAGUAACGAAUUUUUAAAUAUUAAAAUUGCUGGGGAACACGACGGAUCCUGCAGCUGCUCGGCUGUCCCGGUCGUCAGUGACGCUAGGGCUCCGCACCGUACCCUGCAUACCGUAGGUGCUCACGAAACGUUCGUGAGUUCCCUGCUCUGAGGAAACAAGCUUAAAAACUCAGAAUCUAAGGUGUGAGUCUCCGCAAACCUGCUUGUUGGGCAGCGUCCCCCGCCCGGGCUAGCCCUGCACGCCCCACCCCGGAGCCACGCUUCUCCAGCCGGGACCCCUGCCUCCUUCCAGGCUAUUCUCGGAACCGCAGCCAGAGGGAAUUUUUUUUUCCUUUCCUGAAACGUAGAGCAGAUCUGGUUACUCUUCUGCACAACGCCCUAAAAUCUAGGGCCCUUCCCAUCCCUCAGAAUUUACAUCUAAUUCUCAGCUCCCCUCCGGCUUGCUGUAGCCAUCCUGGCUUUUGUUUAGCACAGCACUUACUGUUAGUGACAUUAUAUUGUAUAUUAUUAACAUAUUUGUGUUUUACAUCCCUCACUAGACCCCCAGGAAAGAGGCUUUGAUGUGUUGCCUGCUGCAAGGCUGGCUGCAUAAUUUGUGGAGCUCAGAGAAAAGUGCGGAGCUUCCUUGUUCAAAAAACAGAAAGAAAGUGCCUCUGAGGUCAUAAAAUAUAAAACUUUCUCUUUCCUCUCAGUUUCUCUCUUUUCAUAGUGUUUUUAUGUGUUAUUUAAUAUCAUUCCAAGAAAAAUUUAGAUUUAAAUUGUUAGCAUGAAGUUCACCAUCCAUCUUUACGUUGUGCAAUGCCAGUUUUAAAUACUAAUAUAAGUGCACUGAUCUCAUAUGUGGAAUCACAGAAAUUAUGCAAUUUGUACUUCAUAGCUUAUACAUGCAUAUAGAUUUUGUUUUUACCAGAACCACGCUGGUAAAAACAGAUGCUGCACAAAGUGAACUUGCCCGUUUUCAUCGCACUUUACGUGCACGAAUUCUACCUCUACUCUCGACCUGGGACUCACCGAUGCGUAAGGAAGGACUGAAAAGCAAAAGAACUAUGGACUGGCCUUUUGGCAUGAUCAGGUGUCUAAUAUAAAGAAGUGCAUGAAUAAGAAAAUAUAUGAUAUGAGUGAUGGUUAAUACUGACUGUCAACUUGAUUGGAUUGAAGGAUGCAAAGUAUUGAUCCUGGGUGUGUCUGUGAGGGUGUUGCCAAAGGAGAUUAACAUUUGAGUCAGUGGGCUGGGAAAGUUCGACCCACUGUUAAUCUAGAUGGACACCAUCUAAUCAGAUGCCAGUGCAGCUAGAAAUGUAAAGCAGACAGAAAAAUGCGAAAAGAGAGACUGGCCUAGCCUGCCAGCCUACAUCUUUCUCCCACGCUGGAUGCUUCCUGCCCUCGAACAUCAGACUCCAAGUUCUUCAGUUUGGGACUUGGACUGGCUCUCCUUGUUCCUCAGCUUGAAGACUGCCCAUUGUGGGACUUGUGAUCAUGUGGAUUUAGAGUUUCCUACGGCUGUUGCUUCACAUGUCAUCUGGAGAAGGCCCCCUGUGCAGUCUUUGCAACUUUCCACAGAUAAAGGUGAAAAUAAUGCAAGAGGAAAACAGAUGACGGCCUUUCCCUAAGGCAGAAACUGGGAAGAAGGGAAGCCUGAGAGGAGCAAAAGGACCUGAUGCCAUGAGUGGCCUCAGUGUGAAAUGCGGAGGGCCUCAGUUUGUGUCCCAGCACAGAGACUCUCUACACAAGGUUUUGUUCUUGUUUGUGUUUUUAACUUUUCUCCCAUCCCCUGACGGAGACACCUGUGCCUGAGCUCCAGGGGAACUCGGCAGCGCCCAUGCUCCAUUCCUUGGAUGCUUCUGUGAGUUGAGCAGAAAGACUUUCUUCUCAUUUCUAUCAAUCACCUUUCUUUGCUCUCAGCCCACUCACUUCCCCAUCUUCUACACCUCACGGAAGCAGGAAGGAGGGGCUGCCGAGGACCCCAGGAAUGCGGCCCCAGGAGUCACCAUGCAGAUGAAGAAGGGAGGCGCCCUCAUAUUCGGGCAGCCUGGGAACUGGGAUGUGUUCCAUGCAGUGACAGCUCCCAGCGCUCUGAAGCCAUGACAGCGGAGGAGGCAAGGCAAGACCCCUCCUGCAGAACAGCCACCUGCAGGGGAGAUCUGGCGAGGAGUAAGAAUCGGGUAGAUUUACGCCAGGUCCCCUAAGAGCGGUGCAAAGAAAUGGAUCAAAUAGGCAAGCAUUUCAUCAGGGAAAAUGCCUAAGAGAAAUGCGGGGGGAAGCUGGGUGCAACUGGAAUAGCCUUCAGACUGUGGUGUGAGUCUGACCCCAGUGAAGGAAAGAGGAGGGAUGGCUGCGAGGAGGUGGCCCCAGGAAAGUUCUGCAAAGCCACCGGGCAUCCUCAACCCUGAACCAGAGGACUCAGCCCAACCUCUCCCCAGAGUGGACCUGCACUGCCUUGCUCAGACACUGGCUGGGAGCAGCCUGUGAGAAAUGUGGCUGCAUGCAAAUAUUUAACCGUCAACAAGCCACAGCUGAGGAAACAUGGCCACACAACCGUAUUAGUCCAUUCUCGCACUGUUACAAAAAAUACCUGAGACUGGGUAAUGUAUGAAGGAAAGAGGUUGAAUUGGCUCACAGUUCCACAGGCUGUACAGGAAGCGUGGCAACAUCUACUUCUGGGGUGACCUGUGGGAGUUUUUACUCAUGGUGGGGGCAAUGAGGGAGCAGGCAUUUCACCUGGCAGGAGCAGGAGGAAGAGAGAGGGGGGAGGUACCACACUUUUUUUUUUUUUUGAAAAGAAGACUUGCUCUUUCGCCCAGGCUGGAGUGCAGUGGCAUGAUCUCACCUCACUGCAACCAUUGCCUUCUGGAUUCAAGCGAUUCUCCUGCCUCAGCCUUCCGAGUAGCUGGGAUUACAGGCACGUGCCACUAAGCCCGGCUAAUUCUUUUAUUUUUAAUAGAGAUGGGGUUUCAUCAUGUUGGCUAGGCUGGUUUCAAACUCCUGACCACAAGUGAUCCACCCACCUCGGCCUCCCAAAGUGUUGGGAUUACAGGUGUGAGCCACUGCUCCCAGCCUGCACACUUUUAUACAACCAGAUCUUGUGAAAACUCUUGUCACUAUACAGUACCAAGGGGAGAUGGUGGUAAACCAUUCAUGAGAACUCUGCCUCCAUGAUCCAGUCAUCUCCCCCAGGUCCUCCCUGACACUGGGGAUUACAAUUCAACAUGAGAUUUGGGAAGGGACACGAGGCAAAUCAUAUCAACAACCAUUUGGAAAGUCAUAUGCAAUGGGAGAGAGAAAUCAUGGGAAAUAAUAUAAAAUGAAUUCUUUUCAGCAACGAAAUCUGCUGACAUCAAGAUAAAUACAUAUAUACAUGCAUAUAUACACACACGCAUAUAUUUAAUAUGAAGUCUGCUUCAAACUCAAACAAUAGAGAGAUGGAUUUAUGCAUAUCUGAAAAUGAGCACUAUACCUCUAUUAAAUAGGUAAUAUUGAAAAAUACCCGAUGGCAUAGAAUAAUGUUCUGAAAUGAAAAUAACGGGUGAAAAGCAGUAAAUACAAAGUAAAAUGUCAUGUUUCAUAAAACUUCUUACCAGUGGUUCUCUCUGUGUGAUGGGAUUACAGAUGAUUUUUGUUUUUUACUAUUUUCUUACAAAAAGAUCACAUGUCGUUUUGUACCUUCAAGAGAUUUUAAGAGCACCAUCGCAUGCGUCUGGCUCUCCUAGUAUGUCAAGGUGCCUGCCUCUCAUCUGUGGGGUUGCAGGUCGGCACCGCUGGGGGAGUGGAGAGUCUGUGCUCCUUCUGUACGCUGCUGCCUCUGCUGCAAUGAAGUUUAUGAGGGAGCCUCCAGCCACUGGGGACUGGGGUCUUAUUGUCCCUCUGCUCGUCCUCUAGUCAGAACUGAGUGCCCCCGGAAUUGACAUCUCCCAGGGAUGGGGUUGAGAGUGCCGGGAGGCAGGAUAUGCCAGCCUGAGUUCACAGCCCUUGCUGGCCCCUCUGGGUAGGGGCUGAGCUGGGCUUCAUGUUAUCCACCUCGGGGGUCAACCAGUGCUGCCCCCAGCAUGGUUUGCAGCAAUCCCCUUCUGCUUGUCAAAUCUCCAAUAGCCCCCUCCCUCUGCAGGCUGCCCAGCGCCAGAAAACACGCUGGGCAGGUUCUCCCAGGUUGUACUCCAGGCUGAGCACAGAUGCAUGUGGCGUCCCCACUGCCAGCACUGUUAAUUAAGCCAUGUCCAAGGACCCACAACACCACACAACACCUAGGUAUUAAGCAGACCCAUUGGAAUGUAACUCCAGUGAAUGCAUUCCCGUCCUGUUACAUGACUCCGUGAGGUUCUAUACGCAAAGACCCUAAUCUGUUAACUACUCUUUGGGGCUAUAACGUAAUCUCCCUGCCAGUGAUCUGGAUUUUUAAAAAAAUGGAUUAUUCAUCUCUAAGGUUUUUGGCCCCUGUCUUUUCUGACCAUAGGGGGAAAAUGUCUGGCAGAAGCAAGCCUUGGCUGGCCAUGUGCACCUCAUUCCAUGCCAUUCCAACAGUUGCUGUGCUCCCAGGCUUAUAUAAGAAGAACCAGUUUUCCCACUUCAUGAUUUUGCAGCUUAAUGGGAUGGAUAUGGUAUGGCUUACUUAGAGGCCUGGUCUCAUUUUGACAGUCUUUUGUGCACUUUACAUAUUCCAGGCACUUUCAUUAUUACUGGAAAAGUGAAAGUGGACAUUGGCAAUGGGUUGGCCUCCACAAAAAGCCAUGAGAAUCAAACUGUAUAAACCAAGCUAGGAACGCCCAGCCAAGUUUAUUCUAAAGCAUUACCUCAUAUUGCUGGACAGCUGUCUUUUGGCUAAAACUGGGGAAAAUGUCAAUUCAAUUCCUAUUUUAGGGGUCAGAGUUAUAGAACAUUAAUGAAAGCACUGAGCUGUACUUACUGUAUCCAUCAACAGGAAGAGAAUAACUUAGCUUCUAGACAGGCACAAUCGCAGACGUACACAGAGGCUGGAAGACGGUGCACACCAUUGAGAUACGUGUCUCAUCCAGCCCGCCACAUGCAGCCGGAACCAGGCCACCGCCUGGGUGUCCCUUGUGUCCUGUCCUCCUACCUCUUCUCUCUGGUCCCCACAUUCCUUCCAGAGUUUCUCAUACAUGGAUUGCUCCCAGGCUCCCUUCCAUUGGGGGCCAGAGGUUCUCACAGAGCACAGAGAAGGGGACCAUUCGCCCCUGGGACCAUCAGGGGAAUGAUCUAGAAGUCAAGCAAAUGUUCUAGCCCUUCAGGGUCUUCAAGGUGAGUCGCUUGGGGUGAACGAAACAUUUCUCAUGCGCACAAUGGCUCUCUCAUAAUGAUGAGGCUGCAUCCUGCCUGCUAAGUCUCCCUUUCUUUACUCUUUGUUACUGAAGAUCUUCCUACCGGGAAUGAGAGAGUGAAGGGAACAAAAGUUUAGCUGAGAAAACACGUCCCUUCAUCCACCUCAUAUCCCCACUGUGAUUGCACGCACCACCCCCAUCUCUAGCCUCACUUUUUUCUCAGCCGACUUGUACCCGACUGUUCUAGGGAGAUUACGGGGGAAGAAGGCUGAGGUAGAGAGCAGGGCCUCUAUACAUUUAAGCUCAUAGAGAUACAGAGCAUAUGAAGAUAUGGGAAUUCAGAAGAGUUCCGUCCAACAGAAAUGUAAUGUAAGUCACAUAGUAACUUUGAGUUUUCCAUUAGCUGUAUUCAAAACAGAAAAUAUAAAACAGGCAAAAUGUAUUUAAAUACUAUAACUUAUUUAACCCAAUAUAUCCAAAAUGUUAUCAUUUUGUCAUGUUACCAAUUACAUGAUGAGCUUAUUAAUGAUCUUUUAUAGUUUUCGUACCAAAUCUUUAGUGUGUAUUUUCUACUUAUUUUACAUCUCAAGGCAGAUGCUAAAUUUUCAUCAGAACUACUUGAUCUGUAUUUAAAUUUCAUAAGCUUUGCAGUUAAAAACUCAGAUUCACACACCUAAGUGUCUCCAAAGAUACUUCAAAGUUUUCCAAUAACUGAAUCAAGUCCCAGUUUUAAUUUACAAUUAAAGUAAAAUAAAAAUUAAAAAUUUAGUUUCUCAGUUGCACUAGUCACACUUUAAAUACUCAGUAGUCACGGGUGGUUAGUGGCUGCCACAUUGAGCAUGUGGAUUCAGAAUCUACAUGUAUUUUGUUUCCAAAGAUUGUAAAGUAACAGCAGCAGCAGCAGCAGCAGCAGCAGCAGCACUUGAAUAUGAUACCAACAAACAGGAAGUGUCAGGAAGACGCCUUGCAGAACUGUCAGCCUGUGGAGUUGUUUCCCCAAGAGAGUUUGGAGUUAGAAAGAGGUAUCCAAAUCUGGGAGGUUCAAUUCCUAAAGUUCUUUGUCCCAGAACUGCUACCUUAAAUUGCAUAGGUCCUACGACAAGCUCAGCUUUCCCACUCACUGCUCCAUCAGCUCCUAACUCACUUUACUGAAGACCUGUCUCACUUUAGAUUGCAUGACCUCUGAGGGCAGCAACCAUUUUUGACCUCUGAUGCUGUGGGUAACUUGCCCAUAUUGCUUUCGGGUCAUUAAACUUCUUGCACAAUUUGAAUUUUUAUAUGAAAAUUGGGGUAGACAAGAAAGCUUUCUGGCAGAGCAGAUAACUCUCUUGGAGUUAACCAUGCCUGCUCUUGUUCAUUCAACAUGUAUGCGUUUGUAACGGAAAACCAAGAGGUACUAGAAGUACCUCUUUCAUGCAGAAAUAGUUCACUCCUGAAUACUGAUACAACAGUUUUUCCACCGGUCCUGCCUCAGUUGCUGUCAAAAUGAAUCAGUCCUCAAUAACUGUUAUAAGUGUGUUCAAGGCCCUCUUUGCUUUAAGGUGUUGGUUAUUGAUGGUAGAGAGAGGGUUGAGAACUGAGGUGCUACAACUGCUCCCUAGUGAGAGGUAUACUAUCUGCUCAGGUUGGGCAGACAGUGUGAGUCAUUUCCAAGUUACCUUUUCUGCCUCCAGUGUGUGUAUGUGUGUGUGUGUUUAAGGAGGGUAUGAUAUGCCCUAAGAAAGCCCCACAUGCCAGCAGUUCCAUUGAUAAUCCAAUACCCCCAGGUUAGCAACUAUCUCCCCACAAUGUCCUUCCCCGAGAGCAGAUGACAGCACUCGUCACUCAUCCAAACUCCUGAGAAUCUCCUGGGAUCCAGAGGGUGGAUGGUUUUUUCUCCAAUUCCUUCCUGUUUUAUGUGCCAAUUCCCACCACAGCACAGCAAGGUGAUGAGAGACCCCAAUAAAAGCUUGUGCUUUCUCAUCCUUCAAAAAUCAUGCCUUAUAUUUUUAAUUUUGAGGCCAAGCAUAAUUUUGACUCUAAUUGGUUUCAGGCUUCAAUCAGUGACAUGACUCAUUAUCAGGAUCCUUGAGUGCAAACCCACAAUCCCAUCCCCUAGCCCCAGGCUUCCUUUUCCAGCAUCCGUGGGAAUCCUUUUGUCCUUGAUCUUUCCUGUAAGGUAUUUUGAAGACUUUGAUCUGUUAACUCCUCAGCCAUCUCUCUCCCCUAAUUUUCAUUUUUUUCCUGCAAUGAACCUUUAGUCUUUUGCAAAAUUCCCUUUCCUUCAUGGGUGUAACCCUCUGGGCCGGGGAGAAUCCUGGGGCCCCUUCAGCAUUUAUUGUCAUAGGUGCCAGCUAUCUCCGUUUGCACUCAGAUUUUUAAAUAAACACACAGGGUGCUCAGGUCGAUUUGAAUUUCAGAUAAACAAUGAAUAAAUAUUUGUAUAACUGAGUACCAAAUAUCGCAUGAAGCAUAGUUAUGCUAAAAUUUUUUCAUUGUUUAUCGGAUAUUCAAAUGUAACUGGGCAUUUGUGUUUGAUCUGGCAACCUCCCUCUUCGAAUUGAUCCCUGCCCUUCCCUACUCUGAUCACCAUCACAUGAGAUGCCCCCUCUCAGCUCCCUUGCCCUUCAGAUCCUGGAAUGAAUUUGGUUGAGACUGGUGGGCCAGAGGCCAGGAAGAGCCAGGCUGCAUCUCCUCUCUGUUCUUCUUGUGGAGUCCCCAGCCACAGCUGAGUAUCUCCAUGGCUCUGACUCUGUCUGAAUUUUCCUGCCUCUGUUGCAGUUUCCACUGGGUGGUCUGGAUCCCCGGGUGCUGCCAGGAUGCUCCUCCCUGUACAUGCCCAGCACUGAGAUGGUGGCAGCAGCUGCCCACUUUGCUAGUCUUCGCAUUGUCUGCUAUCCCCUGUUUAGAGAUUCCACUUGCCCAGUACCUUUUUAAGCAAUUUCCUGUAUUAGAUUUCAUCUAUUUGAAAUACAUAGUUUGGCUGCUAUUUCCCUGAAUAGCCCUUGAUUGAAAAUGGCUUUGCUGUUUAUUUCUCCAGUUCUCAGAGCCCCCUCAUCCUUCUUCCUUCAGCCUGUCAAACACUGUCUUUGCCUAUUUCCUCUCUUGUUUUCUCCUCAACUGCCUUUGCCUGUAAAGACGGAUCUGUCGUAGGCCAUGCACAAAUAAUGUGUUAUUAGUAUUAAAGUGCCAAAAGUUCCUUCUUUGUAAAUAUCUAAGAUGCAAGCCUGUGAAACAAUGACACCAUCCCUCACCUGCAGUCCAAUAUUGUCAUCAGAAAAGUUUAGUCACGGUUCUUGAGGAGAAAAGGAAGAGUUGGGAUGGGAGCGAAUCCAUCUGGCUCUGUUUUCACCGUGCAGUGUGCAUCCGAUCAGCUUGUGUGAAACAAGAAAGGCUGCACUGUCCUGCUGCAGCGCAAUGAGCUGGGCUAACGUUCAGUCUUGGACUCCUGUUCCUUCCCAGAGAGGGGCAUCCACAUAUCUGCUCCUCAUCAAUCCAUGACUAUAAAAUGAAACCACAUUUUCAGUUAAUAAUGAGAUGUUAAUGUCCUGAGAGAUCCCUAAUAAUUUAAUUGUCAAAAAAAGCCCUUCUCAAAUUAUUUCCAAGUAACAUUGACAAGUAUCGGAGACAGCUGCCCUGUGUGUUCAGGAGUGGGCUCUGUGAUCAUCUGUCGAGUCUCCUGGUCAUGCCAUUCUGCUGCCUCUGCCUCAGUGACUUUCCCGAGGACAUGGCUCUACAGGGCCCAGCUGGGAUCUGCCGUGGGUGCACAGUGUCCUCCAUGGCCUGCUUUGACUGUGGAAUGCACUUGCCCUUAAUUCUCCAAAGUAUAGCAAUGAUCAGCCUGUAGUUUUAAAAUUGUAUGGAAAUUUGUGAGUUAAUGGAAGGGGAAAAUAUUACAAGAAAUGCAUAUGUUACCUUCAGAGCCCGCCUGCUGAAGGCUUCCUCUCCCUGUUCCGCAUGGCAGGAGCCUGUGGACUCCAUUGGUGAAUUUUCAAAACAUCUGUUUACCUCUGAGUCCAAACCAGACUGGCAAAAGCUCCUACAAAAAAGUUAUGCAAUUCCUUACUUUUUCUCCCUAGAUUGUCCUCUUCCUGUCACAUGUGACACUGGGACUACUCACUCUCAUCAAGAGAAACAUGACACUUCUCACAGGGGUGUAGACUAGCCCCCCACGAUAAUCAUGCAAUAGCCCUAACAUCAAUUCAUGCACUGGGAUGUUCGUGAAUUAAUAUUAAAUAAUAUUACAGAAUGGACAGCAAGGGAAUUCAAUUCCUUCUUAUAUCACCCUGAGAGUGGAGCCUACAAAUCCUCCUGAGUCUUUGAGGUUCUCUAUUCCUGUUAUCCUUGAACAAGAAAAUGUGCACAUGUACACACACACACACACACACACACACACACCACUAAUUUCCCUGAAAACACAAGAAUGAGCAAUAAUAGAUAUGCACAGGUCAGUCUAAAUGAGUAUUUAUCAAAACAGAUUUUUCUAUUUUGCAGAUGAGAAUUUAGAACUCUGCCU
This 9953-nucleotide long non-coding RNA is filed under the name Homo sapiens (human). RNAcentral describes it as "non-protein coding lnc-COL6A3-14:5". The record is from RNAcentral. Lineage: Eukaryota; Metazoa; Chordata; Mammalia; Primates; Hominidae.